UCGUAGGAAUCUAAACAAAAUCGCGCGAACACGACGAUUUUGUGGGUACUGUGUAACACCAAGGGACGAAGAGAACGUCGAGAAUGGCGCUCGACGGUAACGAUCUUCGCGAACUUGUUCCAGCAAACUUUCGUACUCGAGCGAUUUCGGAAAUUGAACGAGGAGCUUCUCUAUAGAGGCCGAUCGGAAUUCGAACAAGCUCUUAAUCAGUAAAAACUCUGAUUACGUUAAACGUUGUAAAAACUACUAAAUCGCAUGAUUUAUAUUCCAAACCGAGCGACUUUUUACGGUGGCUUCGACACAGCAAGCACGAAGAAACAAGAGGCCGUGCGAAUCCUGGACGCAGCUGGAGGCCAAAGUGGAAGCUGGAAUCGGCCAUAUUUGGCCGGAGAGAGCACGAUCGAGGGAAGGUAGGGCUCUCGUCGAUCCGAGCAUCGCGAUUCAACGAGCGUGGAUGGAAGGGGGAAGCUCGAGCAGGGAUGAUGGGGGCUAGAACGUCGACUACGUUGGGGCGGGGUGCUUCGAAACCACCCCUGGUGCCUGGAAUAAUCCCUCGUAUAAAUUGGAUUGUCGGUAG
RNAcentral lists this unclassified non-coding RNA (577 nucleotides) under Bombus terrestris (buff-tailed bumblebee). Its description in RNAcentral is "misc RNA ENSBTSG00005032712.1". The record is from RNAcentral. Lineage: Eukaryota; Metazoa; Arthropoda; Insecta; Hymenoptera; Apidae.